UGAGGAAUAUUGGACAAUGGGCGAGAGCCUGAUCCAGCCAUGCCGCGUGCAGGAAGAAGGCCCUAUGGGUUGUAAACUGCUUUUUUUACGGGAAGAAACACCCCCUCGUGAGGGGGCUUGACGGUACCGUACGAAUGAGGACCGGCUAACUCCGUGCCAGCAGCCGCGGUAAUACGGAGGGUCCGAGCGUUAUCCGGAAUCAUUGGGUUUAAAGGGUCCGUAGGCGGGCGUCUAAGUCAGUGGUGAAAUUCUGCAGCUCAACUGUAGAACUGCCAUUGAUACUGGUCGCCUUGAAUCGUUGUGAAGUGGCUAGAAUAUGUAGUGUAGCGGUGAAAUGCUUAGAUAUUACAUAGAAUACCGAUUGCGAAGGCAGGUCACUAACAACGUAUUGACACUGAUGGACGAAAGCGUGGGGAGCGAACAGGAUUAGAUACCCUGGUAGUCCACGCCGUAAACGAUGGAUACUAGCUGUCCGGUGCACAUUGGUGUG
RNAcentral lists this ribosomal RNA (490 nucleotides) under uncultured Bacteroidota bacterium. RNAcentral's name for it is "bacterial SSU rRNA". It matches the Rfam family "Bacterial small subunit ribosomal RNA", at positions 355 to 838 of the family's 1533-position model. The record is from RNAcentral. Lineage: Bacteria; Pseudomonadati; Bacteroidota.